Humulus lupulus (European hop) is the source of this 2996-nucleotide long non-coding RNA. RefSeq lists it as uncharacterized. The record is from RefSeq and is a predicted model, not a curated record. The transcript is spliced from 5 exons. NCBI's taxonomy places the organism in Eukaryota, Viridiplantae, Streptophyta, Magnoliopsida, Rosales, Cannabaceae.
ACAGCCACUUAGCCCCAAAUGAAAUUAACAAAACAAGAAAAAUCCCUAAUUGUGUAUUACAAGUUUAAUUCUCUAGUCUCUACCAGUUGGCUUCUCUGGAUCUCACUCAAACUCAGCCUCUCAAUUGUUUUCCUCUCACGCUCACUCGCUCAAUCUAUUCUCUCUCACACUCAGCCCCCUCGAUCCGUUCGCUCACUCAGCCUCUGCAAGAACUCAGCCUCUACAAGAACUCAGAUCUCGUCUUUCUCUCCAUAACGUCGAGCUUCUCUCCUUCACACUCAGCCUCGGCAAGAACCAGGCGACCCCGCCGAUGCAAGAACCAGGCCACCAUGGGGCAAACUAGGCAGACCUCCAAUUGUUUAUGAGAUUCUUCUACCGCAAUGCUUAUAGAUGGUUUCCUGCAUAUGGGUUAGUUAAUAUCUUGUUCUGAAGGAGGUAUAUGACAGUGUUAAUAAAUUGAUGAAAGAACUCUGUUUUUUUUUUAUUUAUUCAAGUGCUAUUCAUAAAUUGUUUCAAUUAUUUUUUUAGUCUCUCAAUUAAAAAUCAGCAAGUAUGUACACAUAUUACUAUAAUAAGUGUCACCUAGUACUUUGUAUCAUUAGGGCCAAUGAAAACAGAUCAGGAUCACAAUUCAUUUAUUGGAAUCAAAUCAUUGAUUGAGCCUACUCUUCGUGAACUACAAUCAAAGAUGAGAGAAGCUGAGAAUGAUCCCCAUGAUGGCAAGAGAAAGUGUGAGGCUUUGUGGCCUAUAUUCAGAAUAGCACAUCAGAAGAGCCGUUACAUUUUUGACCUUUACCAUCAGCGAAAGGAAAUAUCUAAGGAGCUGUUUGAGUUCUGUCUAGACUAAGCCUGGUUAUGAACGCCUCUGCUGCUUGAGGUGCAUGCAGCCCCGAGAUCAUAACUUUGCUACCACAUGUGUGUGUUGAGUGCCGAAACAUCUGAGAGAGGAGAAGGUUAUAGAGUGUGUACAUUGUGGUUGUAGGGGCUGCACUAGUGGAGACUGAUUGGCUUCCACUUCUUCUAAGUGUUAACUAUAUAUGCUAGGAUAGUCUAUUAUGGUUAAAUAACUGAAAACUGAAUCUGUAUUGCUAAUGCAACAUCAUCAUGCUUCAUACUCAUUGAAUGGUGCCAAUGACAGUGAGAAAACAAAGGCGUUGUUGACAAGUACUGCACAUGUUCAUUUGAAGUACUCAGAAAUCAUCUUCAACUACCUCAGAAAGUGUACAACUUAUAUGUUAUGGUAGAAUUUCUUGUAUUUUUUGAUGUGUUUAAAGUCUACUCCUUAAAAGAAUCAAUGUUCCUAGCCAGAAUAAGAAACACUAUCUUGUUUUAUGUAACUACAAUGCUCUCUCCUCCAUUUAUAUUAGAAAAGCUAUAGAGAAUUAAAUUGGAGGAUUUCUUAGAGUAAAGCUUCUGGAUACACACUGCAUCUGCAUGGAUUGUUUGUUUGUCUAGAAAAUGCAAAAAGGUGAAAGCUUUGUAAUAAGCUUGAUUUUGAAUUUUUUUUUUUUGGAAAUUUCAGAUGGAUUUCAAGUCUGGGCUUUUUUACGUUUGAUGGUAUUUAUUAGUUCUGACUGAAAGUUGUAUUGAUUAAAACUUGUAUAAGCGUUUGAUAUUUGACAUUUGGUGUUUGGUGUUUUGGUUUGUGAAUUGAAAGCAUGUAUCUGUUUUGGUGUUUGGUAUUUUCGGUGCUUGAUGAUCUGCAUUUUUAAUGGAUAUAAGUGGAUGACCAAUCUGAACUUUGAAAUCACUUUUUUGGUUAUAAAAAGCUAUGAUUCCUCUCUUUCCCUUAUUAAUUUAAGCAAGAACUUCUGAUAUGUUUCAACUACUUCAUUGAUGAUUGCCCUUUUUUAUUUAUUUGGGCAAAAGAUAACUAGCUUUUUAGUUUGCACUUUUGUUGUGUUAGUUGAUUAUGUCUCAUUAAUUAUGUACUGCAUACUCAAUGUCAAAACAUAUUUUGAAAUAUAUUAGCAAAUUCACAAGUUAUGGUUAUCAAACUAAGCUACUACACAUCGAUAUUGUAUAUGUAUACAUCAUUUUUAUCAUUUGGUUUAACUUGAGUUUUUUUUAAUCAUUUUUCUUAUUAUUGAAUUUUGUCCUUGUAGCUUGAUUUUUUUUUUCUCCCUAUGCAAUAUAAUAGUAUUGAAUUUGAUUAAGAAAAACAACAUAAUAUUCAACGCUGUAAAUUUUUGUCUUAUUAAUGAUAUAUACGAAGAUAGAAUUUGAUAAAAUAAAAUUGUUAUAAGUUUCUCAAUGAGACAUUAUCUUUUGUUGGGUGGAUUAAUUUGGUUUUUGAAUUAAUUUUUCUCAUAUAUAUAUAUAGAAAAAAAUUAUAUCAUAUUCUACUAUACUUCUCAAACAUGACUUAAAAGUAUUGGUGUUGCUGCAAAUAUGUUCUCGACAACCUAUAUGAUUUACUGGUUCACUUUGUUCAAAACUUUUCUAAUAGAAUUUCUUCAGCAUAUCUGCUUGAUGUUUCACGAUAUAGAUUAGCUGUUAAAAUAUUUGUUUGAAUAGAUGGCAAGAAUUUUUAAGCCAUUUUAAGCACAUUUUUUAUGUGGGUAAGCAAGGAAAGCAUAGAGAUGUCAAGGUUUACUUAAUUCCUAGAAACCAUGACAUUGGCUAUGAAAGUAACCUCAUUCAUAGUCUAGAGGUAAUCAAGCACCUUAAUUCUAUAAAUUGUCGUGCAUUUUCAAACUGUUAUGAUUAUUUUGUUAAUUAUAUUCCUUGUUCUACUUAUAAUCAGGAGUUUGGAAAGAGAAACUAUCGAUUUACAGCAGUAGAAGUAGAAUUUAUUGCCAUUGAUGCCCAAACUUUAGAUGAGUGUAGAUGACUGGAUUCUUUAGUUAACAAUGGUAAAUCAUCCACAUCAUAUCAUCAAAAGAAUCAAGCUUUCUCGUCUUGGAAUUUGUCAAGAAUGUAUCAAUUGGUAUAGAUUGUUGACUUAUGUUUAUUUUGUGUUAUUAAGUUUGUGGUUACAAUAUAAUCUACUCAUU